AGCGAACGCUGGCGGCAGGCUUAACACAUGCAAGUCGAACGGGUGUAGCAAUACAUCAGUGGCAGACGGGUGAGUAGCACGUGGGAACCUUCCUAGGGGUACGGAACAACUCAGGGAAACUUGAGCUAAUACCGUAUACGUCCGUGAGGAGAAAGAUUUAUCGCCCUUAGACGGGCCCGCGUCGGAUUAGCUAGUUGGUGGGGUAACGGCCUACCAAGGCGACGAUCCGUAGCUGAUCUUAGAGGAUGAUCAGCCACACUGGGACUGAGACACGGCCCAGACUCCUACGGGAGGCAGCAGUGGGGAAUCUUGGACAAUGGGCGCAAGCCUGAUCCAGCCAUGCCGCGUGAGUGAAGAAGGUCUUCGGAUUGUAAAGCUCUUUUGCCAGGGACGAUAAUGACGGUACCUGGAGAAUAAGCCCCGGCAGACUUCGUGCCAGCCGCCGCAGUAA
Molecule: ribosomal RNA, 451 nt
Filed under: uncultured bacterium
Lineage: Bacteria
Description: partial 16S ribosomal RNA
Rfam family: Bacterial small subunit ribosomal RNA
Source: RNAcentral